AAGUAACUACAGGAAACGUAGAGGCUAAUACCGCAUAAUGCAGCGGCUCGACAUCGAGACAGUUGUUAAAGCGGGGGAUCGCAAGACCUCGCGCCUGAAGAGAAGCCUGCGGCAGAUUAGCUAGUUGGUAAGGUAAUGGCCUACCAAGGCGACGAUCUGUAGCCGGCCUGAGAGGGCGGUCGGCCACACUGACACUGACAUACGGGUCAG
This 210-nucleotide ribosomal RNA is filed under the name uncultured bacterium. RNAcentral describes it as "partial 16S ribosomal RNA". It matches the Rfam family "Bacterial small subunit ribosomal RNA", at positions 141 to 334 of the family's 1533-position model. The record is from RNAcentral.